This 853-nucleotide ribosomal RNA is filed under the name Zasmidium cellare. RNAcentral's name for it is "eukaryotic LSU rRNA". It matches the Rfam family "Eukaryotic large subunit ribosomal RNA", at positions 54 to 943 of the family's 3401-position model. The record is from RNAcentral. Lineage: Eukaryota; Fungi; Ascomycota; Dothideomycetes; Mycosphaerellales; Mycosphaerellaceae.
AGGAAAAGAAACCAACAGGGAUUGCCCUAGUAACGGCGAGUGAAGCGGCAACAGCUCAAAUUUGAAACCUGGCGCUCGCGUCCGGAUUGUAAUUUGCAGAGGAUGCUUCUGGGCAGCGGCCGGUCUAAGUUCCUUGGAACAGGACGUCAUAGAGGGUGAGAAUCCCGUAUGCGACCGGCGCGCACCCUCCACGUAGCUCCUUCGACGAGUCGAGUUGUUUGGGAAUGCAGCUCUAAAUGGGAGGUAAAUUUCUUCUAAAGCUAAAUAUUGGCCCGAGACCGAUAGCGCACAAGUAGAGUGAUCGAAAGAUGAAAAGCACUUUGGAAAGAGAGUUAAAAAGCACGUGAAAUUGUUGAAAGGGAAGCGCUUCCCACCAGACUCCGCGGCGGUGUUCCGCCGGCCUUUUGGCCGGUCCACUCGCCGCCGCGGGGCCAGCAUCGUCUGGGGCCGCCGGAUAAGACCGUCAGAAUGUAGCUCAUUGAGUGUUAUAGCUGGCGGUGAUGCGGCGCGCCCCGGGCGAGGUCCGCGCUUCGGCAAGGAUGCUGGCGUAAUGGUGGGCAGCGGCCCGUCUUGAAACACGGACCAAGGAGUCUAACAUCUAUGCGAGUGUUCGGGUGUCAAACCCCUACGCGUAAUGAAAGUGAACGGAGGUGGGAGCUUCGGCGCACCAUCGACCGAUCCUGAUGUCCUCGGAUGGAUUUGAGUAAGAGCAUAGCUGUUGGGACCCGAAAGAUGGUGAACUAUGCCUGAAUAGGGUGAAGCCAGAGGAAACUCUGGUGGAGGCUCGCAGCGGUUSUGACGUGCAAAUCGAUCGUCAAAUUUGGGCAUAGGGGCGAAAGACUAAUCGAACCAU